UGGGGAGUAGCCAAGUGGUAAGGCACCUGCCUCUGGAGCAGGCAUUCGGGGGUUCGAGUCCCUCCUCCCCAGCCA
Molecule: transfer RNA, 75 nt
Filed under: Candidatus Peribacteria bacterium RIFCSPHIGHO2_01_FULL_49_38
Lineage: Bacteria; Candidatus Peregrinibacteriota; Candidatus Peribacteria
Also listed under: 2 other names
Description: tRNA-Gln
Rfam family: tRNA
About the family: Transfer RNA (tRNA) molecules are approximately 80 nucleotides in length. Their secondary structure includes four short double-helical elements and three loops (D, anti-codon, and T loops).
Source: RNAcentral